This 539-nucleotide ribosomal RNA is filed under the name uncultured bacterium. Its description in RNAcentral is "bacterial SSU rRNA". It matches the Rfam family "Bacterial small subunit ribosomal RNA", at positions 771 to 1308 of the family's 1533-position model. The record is from RNAcentral.
ACCUAAUAGAUACCCUGGUAGUCCACGCCCUAAACGAUGCGAACUGGACGUUGGGUGGACUUAGCCACUCAGUGUCGAAAGCUAAACGCGUUAAGUUCGCCGCCUGGGGAGUACGGUCGCAAGACUGAAACUCAAAGGAAUUGACGGGGGCCCGCACAAGCGGUGGAGUAUGUGGUUUAAUUCGAUGCAACGCGCAGAACCUUACCUGGCCUUGACAUGUCCGGAACCUUGCAGAGAUGCGAGGGUGCCUUCGGGAAUCGGAACACAGGUGCUGCAUGGCUGUCGUCAGCUCGUGUCGUGAGAUGUUGGGUUAAGUCCCGCAACGAGCGCAACCCUUGUCCCUAGUUGCCAGCACGUAAUGGUGGGAACUCUAGGGAGACUGCCGGUGACAAACCGGAGGAAGGUGGGGAUGAGGUCAAGUCAUCAUGGCCCUUACGGCCAGGGCUACACACGUACUACAAUGGGAGGUACAGAGGGCUGCCAAGCCGCAAGGCGGAGCCAAUCCCAGAAAACCUCUCUCAGUCCGGAUCGGAGUCUGC